UGGAUAACUGUAAUAACUCUAGAGCUAAUACAUGCCUCGAUGCCCUGACCCUCACGGGGAUGGGUGCACUUAUUAGAUCAGAAGCCAACCGUGUUCAGCCGUGGCGACAUGGCUGGGCGCGUUGACCUUCUGGUGACUCUGGAUAAUUGUUACAGAUCGCAGUCGGCCUUGAGUCGGCGACGGGUCCUUCAAAUGUCUGCCCUAUCAACUUUCGAUGGUAGGUGACCUGCCUACCAUGGUGAUAACGGGUAACGGGGAAUCAGGGUUCGAUUCCGGAUAGGGAGCCUGAGAAACGGCUACCACUUCCAAGGGAGGCAGCAGGCGCGCAAAUUACCCACUCCCAGUACGGGGAGGUGGUGACGAAAAAUACCGAUGCGGGACUCCUUAAAGAGGCUCCGUAAUCGGAAUGAGUGGACUAUAAAUCCUUUCACGAGGAUCAAUUGGAGGGCAAGUCUGGUGCCAGCAGCCGCGGUAACUCCAGCUCCAAUAGCGUAUAUUAAAGUUGCUGCAGUUAAAAAGCUCGUAGUUGGAUCUCGGUAGCGCUGUUGCCUGUUGGUCUUUGGGUGGAUGGUUGCCGUACCUAUCGUCGUUGUCGUUGGCGGUGCAUGGGCGUGGCCCGUGUUACUGCAGAUGCGGCGUUGGCUGCGGCGGCAGCUGUGCAUUCCAAG
RNAcentral lists this ribosomal RNA (668 nucleotides) under Mesocestoides sp. 49 NED 315/2008. RNAcentral's name for it is "SSU rRNA". It matches the Rfam family "Eukaryotic small subunit ribosomal RNA", at positions 140 to 780 of the family's 1831-position model. The record is from RNAcentral. Lineage: Eukaryota; Metazoa; Platyhelminthes; Cestoda; Cyclophyllidea; Mesocestoididae.